This 570-nucleotide ribosomal RNA is filed under the name Candida tropicalis. Its description in RNAcentral is "partial 28S large subunit ribosomal RNA". It matches the Rfam family "Eukaryotic large subunit ribosomal RNA", at positions 38 to 667 of the family's 3401-position model. Lineage: Eukaryota; Fungi; Ascomycota; Pichiomycetes; Serinales; Debaryomycetaceae. The record is from RNAcentral.
GCAUAUCAAAUAAGCGGAGGAAAAGAAACCAACAGGCGGCGAGUGAGCGGCAAAAGCUCAAAUUUGAAAUCUGGCUCUUUCAGAGUCCGAGUUGUAAUUUGAAGAAGGUAUCUUUGGGUCUGGCUCUUGUCUAUGUUUCUUGGAACAGAACGUCACAGAGGGUGAGAAUCCCGUGCGAUGAGAUGAUCCAGGCCUAUGUAAAGUUCCUUCGAAGAGUCGAGUUGUUUGGGAAUGCAGCUCUAAGUGGGUGGUAAAUUCCAUCUAAAGCUAAAUAUUGGCGAGAGACCGAUAGCGAACAAGUACAGUGAUGGAAAGAUGAAAAGAACUUUGAAAAGAGAGUGAAAAAGUACGUGAAAUUGUUGAAAGGGAAGGGCUUGAGAUCAGACUUGGUAUUUUGUAUGUUACUUCUUCGGGGGUGGCCUCUACAGUUUAUCGGGCCAGCAUCAGUUUGGGCGGUAGGAGAAUUGCGUUGGAAUGUGGCACGGCUUCGGUUGUGUGUUAUAGCCUUCGUCGAUACUGCCAGCCUAGACUGAGGACUGCGGUUUAGUCGCCCGUCUUGAAACACGGACC